This 164-nucleotide small nuclear RNA is filed under the name Myotis davidii. RNAcentral describes it as "U1 spliceosomal RNA". It matches the Rfam family "U1 spliceosomal RNA". From Rfam's summary of the family: U1 is a small nuclear RNA (snRNA) component of the spliceosome (involved in pre-mRNA splicing). Its 5' end forms complementary base pairs with the 5' splice junction, thus defining the 5' donor site of an intron. The record is from Rfam by way of RNAcentral. Lineage: Eukaryota; Metazoa; Chordata; Mammalia; Chiroptera; Vespertilionidae.
AUACUUACCGGGCAGGGUAGAUACCAUGAUCACGAAGGUGGUUUUCCCAGGGCGAGGCUUACCCAUUGCACUCCGGAUGUGCUGACCCCUGCGAUUUCCCCAAAUGUGGGAAACUCAACUGUGUAAUUUGUGGUGGCGGGGGACUGUGUUCACGCUCUCCCCUG